Molecule: long non-coding RNA, 511 nt
Filed under: Micromonas pusilla
Lineage: Eukaryota; Viridiplantae; Chlorophyta; Mamiellophyceae; Mamiellales; Mamiellaceae
Description: long non-coding RNA (MPUS_LNC000045)
Source: RNAcentral
CGCGACUGUCCGGUACCUCACCGCGGCACGUCCAAACCGUAGAUUAGCAUCGUUCCGUGAACGAGCGCGAUGAUGCGUCGCGUCGCGAGCUCGAUCCUGCGCGCCCAAGCGAGGAAUGGCGUCCGCGCGUCCAACUUUCGCUUCGCCCCCUCCGCGCUCACGACGGAGGGUUUCAAGGCCCCCGACGCGAUCGCGCGCGCGUUCGGGACCUCCGCGCCCGUCGCCGCGAUGGGCGCGCAGGAGCUCUCCUCGCUCCUCGAGGAGAGGAUCUCCGGGCACUACUCCGCGCUCGACAUGGCGGAAAUUGGGUGCGUGAACCGCCGAUCGCCCGACGCGGAUCCCCCGCCCGUCCGUUCGCCCUCGACCGAUCUUGAAGCGUCCGUUCGCGAAGAAGGAAAGAUCCGACCGCGUUCGUCCUCCGAUCGGUCGAUCGACGCCGCGCCGCGCCAACACGCUGACGACGCCCCCUUCCCCCCGCGCGCGCUCCCCCCCGUCCCUCUCCCCCAGCCGC